Molecule: long non-coding RNA, 1396 nt
Filed under: Mus musculus (house mouse)
Lineage: Eukaryota; Metazoa; Chordata; Mammalia; Rodentia; Muridae
Description: long non-coding RNA chr15:41802761-41804157
Source: RNAcentral
UUUUUUGUUUUGUUUUGGUUUGGUUUUUUUUGCUUUAAAUUUAUUAUGGAACCAAGAUAAUUUUUUGUUUAACUUUUUGUAUAUCUAAGGUGAUUAUAUUUCUGCAUUAUAACUACUGUUUGUCUCCUGUGCCAUUAUAUUUCUAAUAAUAUAUAUUCUUAGAAGAAAAAGUAUUUUAUUUAAAUGUUACCUUUAUAAAGCAUUUUUGUACUAGCAUUAUAUUACAUCAUGUCUGUUAGAUUUUCCUCUGUGUUUAUUGAAGAUACUGUCAAUAUUUCCAAUAAACAUUGAUCAGCUUCCUGAAUAUUCAGUUUUGUUUAGUAUAGUAUGUAUGAGACUAAAAUAUUUACAGCUCUGUUAUUAUUCAAGUUUUCAUUUAUAUUUUUAAAUAAUUUAUUUCACAUAGAAAUAUUGUCUUUGAAAUUUAAAUUUCUAAACUAUUGAUUUCUAUUCACAUAUCGAUGAAGAAAUAUGAGGGGCCAUAGAGUAAAAGUGGUGAAGGUAGACAUUAACUAAUUUGCAUCUGAGGUUACUCAGUUUGGGUCCAGAACUUAUAUUCUAUGUUAAUUAUGGCUUUAUACUGGAAAUUGAUCACUCAGUUAAGUAAUUAAUUUCACCCAAAGAGAGGAGUAAUCCCUAGCCAUUUGUGGAUAUGGAGACAGAAGUAUAAUUUACUCAUUGUUAGUGGAUAUGGAAACAGCUGCCAUGUUUUACUCUUUUCUGCCUUGGAGCUGGUGUGUUGCUCUGAUAAGAUACUCACAUCAGAGGAAGCUAAUGACUUACACUUGCAGACAAUAAUCUAUCACUGAGGGAAGUCAGGGUAGGACUCCAGGUGGAAAACUGAAGGAAGAACCGAGAGAUACAGCUCGCUGGCUCGCUCUUUGUCUUAUGAUGGGCUAACUCACAUACAUAGCUCAGGGCCACCUGUCCUGGAAUAAUACCAGCAGCAAUGGCUGUGUUCUCUCACAUCAGUCACCAGUCUAGUCUUCUCUCGCUGACAUGGCUACACUUGGAGAGAGAGAAUUCUUUACUGGAGGUUCCUUCUUUCCAGGUGACGCUAGUUGAGUCAGGUUAAUGGUCAGCAGUGACCAGGACAGAGUACUACACUUCACCUUCAGUAAGAACCCAAACCUGGUUUUGCGCACCUUUGCGUUCUCUUCUGCACUGUAAGUCUAAUAUGAAAUACAUAUUUCAUAUGUAAUAUGAAAGGCUAAAACUAUAUGGUGGUGAAACCCAAAGGGAGAAUGUUUAGGUAAUAAUGUGGGGAGAUGGGUAGUAAGGUUGAAGUAUAUUCACCUAAAGAGUGAAUAUACCAAGUAUCUAAAAUACUUCGUAGCAUAGUCAGUAUAAAAGAUGAUAGUAAAACAUUUGAAUAGAAAUAGAAGCACAGCAUACU